This 274-nucleotide ribosomal RNA is filed under the name uncultured bacterium. RNAcentral's name for it is "partial 16S ribosomal RNA". It matches the Rfam family "Bacterial small subunit ribosomal RNA", at positions 523 to 796 of the family's 1533-position model. The record is from RNAcentral.
AUACGGAGGGAGCAAGCGUUGUUCGGAUUUACUGGGUGUAAAGGGCGUCUAGGCGGAUUUAUAAGUCAGAUGUGAAAUCCCACGGCUCAACCGUGGAACGGCAUUUGAUACUGUAAGUCUUGAGUACGGAAGAGGAAAGCGGAAUUCCUGGUGUAGCGGUGAAAUGCGUAGAUAUCAGGAAGAACACCGGUGGCGAAGGCGGCUUUCUGGUCCGUUACUGACGCUGAAGCGCGAAAGUGUGGGGAGCAAACAGGAUUAGAAACCCUAGUAGUCC